Molecule: ribosomal RNA, 497 nt
Filed under: uncultured bacterium
Lineage: Bacteria
Description: partial 16S ribosomal RNA
Rfam family: Bacterial small subunit ribosomal RNA
Source: RNAcentral
GAUGAACGCUGGCGGCGUGCCUAAUACAUGCAAGUCGAGCGAACAGAUGAGGAGCUUGCUCCUCUGACGUUAGCGGCGGACGGGUGAGUAACACGUGGAUAACCUACCUAUAAGACUGGGAUAACUUCGGGAAACCGGCGCUAAUACCGGAUAAUAUAUUGAACCGCAUGGUUCAAUAGUGAAAGACGGUUUUGCUGUCACUUAUAGAUGGAUCCGCGCCGCAUUAGCUAGUUGGUAAGGUAACGGCUUACCAAGGCAACGAUGCGUAGCCGACCUGAGAGGGUGGUCGGCCACACUGGAACUGAGACACGGUCCAGACUCCUACGGGAGGCAGCAGUAGGGAAUCUUCCGCAAUGGGCGAAAGCCUGACGGAGCAACGCCGCGUGAGUGAUGAAGGUCUUCGGAUCGUAAAACUCUGUUAUUAGGGAAGAACAAAUGUGUAAGUAACUAUGCACGUCUUGACGGUACCUAAUCAGAAAGCCACGGCUAACUACGUG